UAACUAUUGCCUCCGUCCGGAAAUACUUGUCGGAGGGUUAGAUGUAUCUAUACGUAAUUUAGUUUUAGAUACAUCCAUUUUUAUCCAUUUCUCUGACAAGUAUUUUCGGACAGAGUAUUUA
This is a non-coding RNA of Triticum aestivum (bread wheat), 121 nucleotides long. The record is from Rfam. NCBI's taxonomy places the organism in Eukaryota, Viridiplantae, Streptophyta, Magnoliopsida, Poales, Poaceae.